Molecule: long non-coding RNA, 655 nt
Organism: Solanum tuberosum (potato)
Lineage: Eukaryota; Viridiplantae; Streptophyta; Magnoliopsida; Solanales; Solanaceae
Exons: 4
Source: RefSeq, a predicted model, not a curated record
UCUUUUUGAAACCUAUAAUUAGCCCUUUAUUGUACAACAAAGAUAUCUCUUGAUCUUUAGGAUAAAAAAAUUUUUGAUCCUCGACCCCAGGACAAGGGAGGUUGUGCUUGCUACUCGACUAUUCUCCAAAACAAAACAACCUUCAGUUCACCUCCUUCAACUUCAAAGAAUACUUAGGAAUGUCCUCUUUCAGCGUCAUCACUAUUGGCGACAACAAAAGUGUGAGAUUUAAUUGGUACGUGACCGUUAGGAAUCAUGGUUACGCAAGGCUUCCAUGCCUCCAACUCUGUCAUUUGGACUCACAAGGACGGUUUAAUAUAUCAGCCCUUCCAAUAUCAAUUCAAUGGACAAGAGCACAUUUAGCUUUGUGGAUCUAAGAGAUGCAUUGACAACAGUCCUCUUCUCUAUUUCUUAUACAGCGGAAAUCAUGUGAGGGAAAACUUUAUUCGCAAAAAGGUUGAUCAAAGUAUGUCGAUUGUUGGGCAUGAAGACUGUUAAAGACGAAACCAGAUGGAGUAGAAAUAUCCACUCUUCAGUCCAAUGGAAAGUUCUGUUCACAUCAACAUUAUUUUUUAAUGAUGUAUUAUUUAAUUUAUACUGCAAAAUUAUAUCUGUAAAUUUUUUAAGUUAUGUUAUUAUCAAUCAAUUAUGUUAA